Molecule: long non-coding RNA, 659 nt
Organism: Bos taurus (domestic cattle)
Lineage: Eukaryota; Metazoa; Chordata; Mammalia; Artiodactyla; Bovidae
Source: Ensembl
AGGAUGACAGGACAAGUUAUUUCCUGCCAAGUGACCUCUUAUUUGAUUCAAAAUUGAAAACAAAAACAGUAAGAGUUUUAUUACAGCAACAGAAACAUGAGGUCGGUCCAGCCUGGGGCAGUUUCUCUCCAAGAGAAGAUGGAGGAAGCACAGCUAAGUGACUGGAAAUUUGACAUGCCUUCAUGUCAAGAGAUACCUGUACCUCUUGGAAACAACAAGCCCUUUGUGGUACCUCAGUGGGAUCAUCAGUGGGGCAUGGCCCUCUCUUGGACAACGUUCUCAUGCUGCUUUGCAAAGAGAAUAUAUAACAGGAUUUGUACAGAUAUUCAUAGAUGUGGUUAGAGCCUCUUGGAUUGCUGUAGCUGCUGGAACACCAAAACUAUAGGAGAAUUUUUAUCCAAAUAAAUAUAUAAAGACUGACUGUGGUUGCACAGUGAUCUUAUUCUAAAAGCUUUCAUUGCUUCCCUCCAUCCUCCCAUUUUAUUGUGGAAAGAAUAUUGGAGUCACUGGGACAAUUUAUUGUUCUCAUACAUUCCUGGUAUGUAUAUCUUGCCUAAAUGUUGGGAUGGCAUUUCUGGUUUUAUCUCUGUGAAUGAGGGAGUGAGGGAUAAGUCAUACCUUAUGACUCCCCAUCUCUCCUGUGAGCGAUGAUAACAACA